CCGCUGGACUGCGUUACACCUUCCCCAGACCCUGUGACCUACCCAUUACUUAAUUUAUAAGCAGAGCCUUUGGGGAAUGGGGCAAUCAAUUCCCUCAUUAGCAGCUGUGGAGUUUCUUCUGCUGCCUUAUGUAAAAGAACUGUCAGUCAAACAGCCAGCUGGCCUGGAUUAUGCCAGCACCAGCCAGCUGGAACACCCCACAGACACCUGGAGAAAACUGACAAUUGUAACUAUUGCGUUAGCUCCUGGAGGCACAGCUUUGAGUUGGCAGUCUCAAGACGGAGGAAGCAACACCGGCCGGUGGUGGCACACACCUUUAAUCCCAGCACUCGGGAGGCUGGUGCGUGCUCUGUGUGGUGUGGGUUGGCCAAAGAGAGAGGUCAUUCCACAGUGAAUUUUUGAGGCCUGUGUGGCAGCAGGGAGGUCCAGCCUCUGACGGACUGAACCUUGAACAGCUGUACAAAGGCAUAUUUAUUGAUUGUUGCACAAAGUUGUCUUUUGGGUAAACAAGUUCCUCAUACCAAAGUCCCUGAUCUAACCCAUAUGUGUUUCUGAAGGAAAGGCAUCACUCCAUGCUACUUUAGUCCUUACUGUGUCUGCAGUACCCAACAAUCCAAGAGCUUCAGGUGGGCCAGCAGUGUCUGGUGACCAAAGUCAUGCAAAGGCUGUAGAGCUGCUUCAGAAAAACAACUCUGUCAAUCAACAGAAAACAAUCACUGAUUUCCACUGAGAUUUAUUUAAGGUACUUACAGAAAACAACUGUUCUAAUGAUUACCCUGUAUACAGUGACUCUGUUAGAUUCCUACAAGAACAGGCAGAGACAGGCAGAUCUCUGUGAAUUCAAGGCCGGCCCAGUCUACAAAGAAAGCUCCAGGACAACCAGGGCUACACAGAGAAACCCUGUCUUGAAAAACAAACAAACAAACAAACAAACAAACAAACAAACGAUGGAGGAAGCAGCAGAGACAUCAGUGAAGAUGGUGGGUGACUCAAGAGACAUCGGAGGUGCUGGGGAUUUAGCUCAGUGGUAGAGCACUUGCCUAGCAAGCGCAAGGCCCUGGGUUCGGUCCUCAGCUCAAAAAAAAAGACAUCUGAGUGGUCGGCAGGAGCACCAGUGAAUGGGUCCAGGCAGCCAACGAUCAGCCAGCACAGGAUGAAGGGCAGUGCAUGUGGAAUGUGGAGAGACAGCAAGAGCGAGCAAAGAGCUGAGACUGCAGGAGCCGGAGAAGAAAGACUGCAGGCCCUGGUCACAGGGAUGUCAAGUCUUCAGGGCCUUAGGGUCUGUAAUCAGCCUUGCCCCUUAGCUCCAGUCACUGCCAUCUUUCUGCUAGGCCACAAGGAAAAGUGUCCCUCCUCUGGCCAAGGUGGACAUAGUUGUAGGGUCACCUCAAGUUCACUAAGACUUCUGAAAACAAAAAGUUCAGUGCAAACUGUUGAAACAGCCUUGGAUGAUGCUGUGCCUUCCAGAGCCCAGGUGAUCAUUUGUGGUCAUCAGCUUUCUCAUGGUGUCUGUAGAGUGUUCCAGAUGACUGAUACUGGCAUAAGGACAGCCAUUUGAUUGACAGCCUUUUUCUUCAAAGUAGCUAGGCAGUAAGAAAGAGUCUAAGGCAGCUGUAAGUUGGGGAGUCAUGUUGGAUCAUCCUGAACAUCUUUUCUUACUUUCAGAAACACAAAUACCAGGAAUGCUUUCUGUUAUCAAGGACUGGGGCUCAAGGGUUCAGAGCACUGGCUGCUCUUCCAGAGGUCCCGAGUUCAAUUCCCAGCAACCACAUGGUGGCUCACAGCCAUCUAUAGUGGGAUCUGAUGCUCUCUUCUGGCAUGCAGGUGUACAUGCAGAGCACUCAUACAUAAAAUAUAAAUAAAUAUGAUUUGAAAAAACACCAAAAAACCUAAAGGGCUUACUAACAGCAACAGUGAUUUUAACAGAUGUUGACUUGCUUCCCCAGAGCCCAACACCUGCCUAAUGCCCCAAGAAGAGAUUCUCUUCUCUUUAUAACCCAAGAGGGUUUCUCUCAUUUGUCUUGCUUCCAACUGGUACCCAUUAAGUGUCCUAAUGAUCACCCCCACUCCCCAGCAGAACACCAGACUGGCUCUACCUUGUUCAAAAGCCAUAUUGAAACUCCAAGGACCUUAAACUCAUUAUGAUAAUAGCACACCCAUUGGUGCCAGGACAGAAUAAAUAGACCCAGGAAUGAAUAAAUUAUGGGUAAAAAGAAGUGGUACCCUGAUUCUUGGAAACUUUCUCCAUGAAAAGCUCUGAUAAUGUAGAACAAUGGUAGAGUUUUUGUCUAGUAUGCUGGAGAUCCUGAGUUCAAUCCCUAGUAGUGCAUCCUCUCCCCAUAAUAAAAUUACAGAAAAGAAAGAUCUGAGGAGUGCUUGUAUACAUCACCCCUUGUAACUCAGUCCUAAUAAAAUCUAACACCCUAGUCCUGCUCAGGGAGAAGUUGCCACCAUACUCUCUCUGGUCAUCAAAUAAACUGGCUGCUCCAGAA
Molecule: non-coding RNA, 2492 nt
Organism: Peromyscus maniculatus bairdii (prairie deer mouse)
Lineage: Eukaryota; Metazoa; Chordata; Mammalia; Rodentia; Cricetidae
Source: RefSeq, a predicted model, not a curated record